GAAAGCCGUAUGCUUUAGAAGAAGCUUGUACAGUUUGGGAAGGGGUUUUUUGAGAGAAAAGAAGAAUUUACUUCAAC
Molecule: non-coding RNA, 77 nt
Organism: Triticum aestivum (bread wheat)
Lineage: Eukaryota; Viridiplantae; Streptophyta; Magnoliopsida; Poales; Poaceae
Source: Rfam